Molecule: ribosomal RNA, 497 nt
Filed under: uncultured bacterium
Lineage: Bacteria
Description: partial 16S ribosomal RNA
Rfam family: Bacterial small subunit ribosomal RNA
Source: RNAcentral
GACGAACGCUGGCGGCGUGCCUAAUACAUGCAAGUAGAACGCUGAAGAGAGGAGCUUGCUCUUCUUGGAUGAGUUGCGAAAGGGUGAGUAACGCGUAGGUAACCUGCCUGGUAGCGGGGGAUAACUAUUGGAAACGAUAGCUAAUACCGCAUAAAAUGGAUUAUCGCAUGAUAAUCCAUUGAAAGGUGCAAAUGCAUCACUACCAGAUGGACCUGCGUUGUAUUAGCUAGUUGGUGGGGUAACGGCUCACCAAGGCGACGAUACAUAGCCGACCUGAGAGGGUGAUCGGCCACACUGGGACUGAGACACGGCCCAGACUCCUACGGGAGGCAGCAGUAGGGAAUCUUCGGCAAUGGACGGAAGUCUGACCGAGCAACGCCGCGUGAGUGAAGAAGGUUUUCGGAUCGUAAAGCUCUGUUGUAAGAGAAGAACGAGUGUGAGAGUGGAAAGUUCACACUGUGACGGUAUCUUACCAGAAAGGGACGGCUAACUACGUG